GCGCCGGGGCAGCUUCCAGCAGCUCCUGGAGGGAGUCAGCCCUGGGGCUCUUCCAGCGGCUGGAAACGUCCACAGACACCUGUCACAUCCUCCCAGGAAAUAUCCUCCGGCUUUAAUCCACCCCAGGACUGAGGUGGUCUGCGAACCAGCUCUCCCCAGCCCCGCUCUUUGCUGGGUGUCUCCUCAGGGGAGACAUUUUGUGACCCUGCGGCCGGGAUGGGCUCCCUCCAGUCGAAAGGCUGAUUCCUCUUGUCCCUGGGAAGUUAACAAGGUAAACCGAACAAAACACCCACUCGGCUCAAAUGAGUUGCCAGCAGAAGCAGCAGUGGCCACCAACACCAGCGGUUUCAUCGCUGUCAAGGUUCCCUGCAGCCUAGAAGCGAUCCCCAGACCCAGAUGAAGAAGGUUUGGCUCUACCCAGAGUGGGAUCUGCCUGCUGUUUCUCAUACGUAUUCCUUGGUGUUAAAGUGCUGAAUCGCAGGGGCUGCCAAGGCUGAAGGGUUAUGAACCACUGAGAAAUGAAGCGCUCCGUAUUCUGCACAGCUGACUUCAGCCAGUGAUGGUCCACGGAAGAUAACUGCUCCUCUCUUGGCUCUUGCUCUGCUUAGAGACCAGAAAGACACAUUUUCAGGCCACAAGUUCUUUACCAGAAAAGGUGGGGACUGAGACUUCUGGUUGCCUGUGGCUUUUCUGCACUUUUUAAUGCCCCGUGAAGGAUUAGUCUGCCUCAUCUCCAACCAAGAGAAGGAAAAAAGAAAAAAAAACAACAUAUAGUGCUGGUCAUGAACUCAUGGCAUGAGCUUUUUGGCAAUGAAACAAGGUUAAAUCUCAUUCCUUCUGAGGAUUUCUCCAUGAGGUGUCUUCCGUGUAACUGAGAACAGUGGAAAGUCCUCCACAAAGGCAAGGUUUCUUGCAAUAUUGCUGCCUGGUUCUCAGGCUGGGUGAAGCCAACUGUCCCACUUCCAGAAGCACCUCUUCCAUGCUGAGCAGCUCCUUCCAUGCUUUUGACACAUCUGCUGAGCUGAGAGGGGCUCUAUGUGAUUUCCCACCAGCACCAGCGUGGGGUGUGUUCCUGGGAAUCUUGCAUCACUUUGGCACCGAGGAUAACUUUUCCCACAUCACUCAUUGCAUGUUGUUCUGCACCCAGGACAUUUCCUAGGUGCUAGGAGGGACUCACUCUAGUGCCACCUGCUUGUGACAAAUAACCCCACCUCAUAUUUACAGCCACAACCUCCCCUUGCCACUGCUGGAAUAUCAUCUCAGUUUUGCCCUUUCCAUCCUUUUGGAGGCAGCUUCUCCCGUGGGAGGUCUCAGCGAGCUCCUGAGGAGACUUUUGGAUUCCUGGGGGAACAGAUCUCACUGCUUCCAGCCCCACGGUCUGAGAGUCCAGAAGUGCAAGGAGAAAAUUAAAAGAGAAGACAAGACUUCACCCAGUUCUGAUGCAAAGUCAAACCAAGCCACUCAGGCUUUGUAGCUUCUACCAGCAACUGUGACCUUGGCACAAGCACUGAGAGCCAGGAGGCAGAGACAGCUCAGUGCUGGGAGAGCAGCAGGAGCCUCUGGAGAAUCCAGCUGAAGGAGCCAAGGAUUUGUCUGCACCAUCAUUGCAAGGACAGAAAGCAGAGGGUGUGAAUCAGGAGUGACUCCCCUGGGAGGACACCAUCCCUAUCUGCCUAUCUGCUGUGAAGCAGGGAGCUGUGGGGCUGCAAGUGUGGCCUGGCCCCACAGGCACACAUGAGGUGGGAAGGUGGACAGAGAAGGUGCUCCAGGCCCUUCAGUCCCCCAACCCUGGCCCUGCAGGCUCUUUGCUGGUGCUGGGCUCCUUUUCUUCCAGGGGAAAUGGUUCUGCAGUGCAAAGAGUGCUUGGGUAAGAUCCACAGGAGUCAACUCCCAGUGAGAGAGGAGGGGUCUCCUUCCCCAGGCCCCCCUGCAGGGACCAGCAUGUCAGCCACACAAGAUGCUCCUCACAUGAAGUGCAGAAACUGCCACCAGCUGUGGAGCUGGUGAAAACUAGCCCAGCCAUCAACAAAUCUUUCUCUGGAGGUGGCUGACUCAGAUGCUGCUCUGCCUCCCAGGAGUCCCCUGUCAUGUAGACCCUGUCACUUCCAUGUCUCAGAAUUAGCCAGAAGGCUUUUCUGCCAUCUGAGUUUGACCUUCUAAGGAUGUUCAGCAUCAUUCAGCAUCUGGCCCGUGAGGGAUGUGACAUGUUUCACAGAUGUGCAGGACAGCAGGCACAGGCUUUGCAGAGCAAUACAGACCCCAUGGCUCCUUCUUGCUCACCAUCUCUCUCCAGGGACUGAAGGCACAUGGUCUGCCUGGCUUCUCCAGGUCCCAGCAGGGACUCUGGGCCAACUCAGAGGUACCCAGGUGACCAUGAGUCUUUUCCUGAAGGAAAAAACAUUGUCUCACCUUCUUACCCCUCAAAGAUGUUCUCUAAUCCUCAUGCUAAUCCUUCCUGAGCCUCCAAUCUGGUCCUCCUGCCUUCCAGAACAGAAGCACUUGCAGUCAGUCCUGCUUUUAGCUACUGGGUUGCCAGCACACUGAUGGGAAAUAUCUUCCUGCUGCUGCCACCCCCUGCUCUGCACCCAGAGCCCUGGCAGAACUCUGUGGGGUAACUGACAUUCAGCUACAAAGCCCAGUGAACCUCCUAAAUGCCCAUGCAGGAGGAUCUGCCUCUCAGGUGCUGUAUCAGUGGUGCUGAGUGCUGCUUCCUUUGGUCCCUUGGCACAUUUAUCUGUCUCCAUCCACAGGAGAAAUCUCUCUGCACUUCAGGGGCUCACCAGCCUGGGCUGCAGUUUGGCUUGGUACCAAUACCUGGAGCUACCCUGCUGGGCUUCCCAAGGGGCAAGAAAGAGGCUUGUCUGUCUUUACAGAUAAUUAAAUCCAGAUUAAAACAAGAUUUUACUGGAAUCCAGCCUGGGGGAAAUUGCAAAGGGUUUCCUGGAGGUGAAGCUCUACAACCAGAGCCCAGGCAGUGCAGUGGCCUUUCUCUGUCUCCUGAAAUUGAGAGAGAGGUGAAAAAUCCACAGAAGCUGGUUUGGGAACCUGCCCACAGCCAAAGGUAAGCUUGGAUUGUCCAGGACAAUACUGCCCACCACAUGCAGCUCUCUCUUCCACCUGUGGGAAUGGAGGGAGCCAUAAGAGAGUCCUGUCUCAUGUAAAUCCAAAUUUCCUCUCUUAUUCUCCCUAAAAUGUCCCAUGCUUGGCUCUGUGGGGCUCCCAGCAGCAAAGCAGCAAACCCUUCCCUCCUGCACAGCUUUGGAGAUGAACCAUCCCCUGGCCCCUCAUCCAGGAGCACAGGGAGUGGAGCCCUGCAUGGUCCCUGCUCCUGCUGCUCCCACCAGAGAGGGGUGCUCGGCUGCCCCCCUUGGCUCACUGAGCCUCAGACGCUUCAAGGAGGGGACAGUGGAUUGAGGUGGCCUUCAACUGGAAGGACUGGUUUGCAGAGGCUCAACUGGCAGGCACGGUUGUGGAGGCAGGGACAGAGAGUGGAGCUGGGAGCAACUGUUGUGGAAAGGGUGGGAUGUGUCGGAGAGCACCGGAGGUGAGCGCAGCCACAGAGGGCCGUGCUCAGGGAAGGGAUGCGAGUGCAGGUUGCAGGAUGUGGAGGCUGUGAGUGGCAGAAUCUCCACAGCCUCAUUAAACUCUCGUGUCCAAAUUAAAUGUCAGAUUUGCAUAUUGGUUCUCUGUUUCCAGGCCCGUGAUGCAGCAGCCGGGAGGAAGGGCACAGGCGGGAGGGCUGUGGGAAUCCAGCAGGGAACACAAGCCCUGGUGUCUGCUCGGUUGCAAGGACAGACCAUGGAAAAGGCUCAGUGGGCUGGAGGAGGAGGAGACAGUGAGAGGAGAGUGUGCAGGGCAGUGGGGGGUGAACAUCCCAGGGAGAAGCAGCCUGGACUCUGCACUGGUGCCUUUCAAAACUAUUUACUAAGGAGGGCCCCAGUUUGCCCAGCAGUGCCUCCUGGAGUCAUGGAAUGGGUUGGCUUGGAAGGGACCUGAAAGAUCAUCUAGAUCCAACCCCCUGCAUGGGCAGGGACACCUCCCACCAGCCCAGGCUGCUCCAAGCCCCAUCCAACCUGCCCUUCAACACUGCCAGGGAUGGGGCAGCCACAGCUUCCCUGGGCAACCUGGGCCAGGCUCUCCCCACCCUCACACUCCAGAAUUCCCUCCUCAUGUCUCACCUCAGUCUCCCUCUUGCAGUUUUCAUCCAUUCCCCCUUGUCCUCUCCCUCCCUGCCCUUGUCCCAAGUCCCUCCCCAGCUUUCCUGGAGCCCCUUCAGAUGUGAAGACUGUGACUCUGCAGUGGCCACAUCUGUUCUUUCCAGAAGCACCUCAGUUUGGAGCAGACACACAUUUUGCCACCCCAAUUUUGGCACCUCUUAAGAUGGUGCUUUGGUGUGGUGCCCCUAAAGCCUUGGCCCUGCUGCUGUCUGAGCCAGAGGGCUGGGGGGACACACUUCAGGAGGUCCUGUGCUAUCUUGCUUUAGAAGAGAUGGACAAUGUACCAGGAAUGGGCUCUGCUGAGAACGGGCCUGAAGAAGGACGAGCACAAAUAACGAUUUGUGACUCCUCCCAUGUCACAAGGGCAGCAAAGGGCUUCCCUGCCAGAACAAGCAUUUCAGUCAGGGAGAAUGUCUCCCAUCCACCAGCCCCAAUGCCAAACACACCUUGCUUUUGGGAACAGGAUCAACUCUUCACUUUCACAGUGUGAGAAACGUUUGUCGCGCCAAUGAGCAGGCCCACACGGAUCCUUCAGCGAAGCACAGUUUAUUUACAUCCUUGCAAGAAUGGGUGACCUAAGCAAGUAGGCACACCUAUAGCAAGGUGAAUAGCGGUUUAUAUUCCCUAUUCCCGACGCAAAAUUCCCUCCCCUGUUUCCCCACUGGCUGAGUACUCCAGGGUUUACAGCCUAUCCGACGCUUCAAAUUAUCCUAUAAGUUUCCCGCCCCUGUUUACACAUUCCAUUCUAGCAGUUUACUUUUUACCUUUUAAGGUAAAAUUUUGACCUUUCUUGCCCCCUUGGCUGUCUUCCCAAUUAACAAUCUACUGGUGUCAUCCUGCCCUGAAGAGCAGCAUAGAAGUAGCUUUGUUCGGCCUUAUCUUGGGCCAUAAAUCCUUCUCCAUGUUCAGAUCCCCCAGAUGGAGCCCAAUUAAGUCCCUCAGUU
Long non-coding RNA from Apus apus (common swift), 5161 nucleotides. RefSeq lists it as uncharacterized. The transcript is spliced from 5 exons. The record is from RefSeq and is a predicted model, not a curated record. Lineage: Eukaryota; Metazoa; Chordata; Aves; Apodiformes; Apodidae.